GGCAAGGGGUACCCCUUGUGAAAUUUUCGAGUGGAAAUUUUUUUUAAAAUUUUUUUCUGAUUUUUUAUUCUUUUAUUAAUUUAAAGCAUUAUUUGAGUGAAAAGAAACUUAUUGCAACUAAUUCGCAUUAAAAUAUAUCAAUUUUUUAAAUUUUGCUGAAUUGCUCAAAAAUGAGGAAAAUUUUACAUUUUCUCAAACAGGGUAAGGAACUUGGUUCCUCGAAUAACUUCUGGCACAGACAUCUGAGGGCAUGGCCGUCCAUGAAGAAAAUGUAGCCAUUGGUGCCAUCUAUCGACCACAGGUUAAAGAUUGGCGAUCCGUUGGAUACCGACCGAGUUAUAGCCAAAACUUGGCGCAAAAAUGAGGAAAAUUUUACAUUUUCUUAAACAGGGUAAGGAACUUGGUUCCUCGAAUAACUUCUGGCACAGACAUCUGAGGGCAUGGCCGUCCAAGAAGAAAAUGUAGCCAUUGAUGCCAUCUAUCUACCACAGGUUAAAGAUUGG
Molecule: long non-coding RNA, 503 nt
Organism: Anopheles funestus (African malaria mosquito)
Lineage: Eukaryota; Metazoa; Arthropoda; Insecta; Diptera; Culicidae
Exons: 2
Source: RefSeq, a predicted model, not a curated record